Dreissena polymorpha is the source of this 1010-nucleotide long non-coding RNA. RefSeq lists it as uncharacterized. The transcript has 4 exons. NCBI's taxonomy places the organism in Eukaryota, Metazoa, Mollusca, Bivalvia, Myida, Dreissenidae. The record is from RefSeq and is a predicted model, not a curated record.
AAGUUGCCAUUGUAAAACUACCGAAAUCUAGAUCCACAAAGACGCCCUGAUUGUAUUACCUGUCCUGAAUGUCCUGGCUUCAUAACCCUGUCGGGAAGGCGACCUUAGUGCCCACAGCCAUAUGACGUCAAUGGGAACGUAAAUGGAAAGCGAACUACGCACUUCGGCCUGAUAAAACAUCAGACAGUCAUGGAAUCGAGUAUUCAAAGCACGAUAUUGUCUUGGUUAGUGUCCAAAUUAAAUUAGUUUAAGUUGGGACAGUAACAGUUCACUGCUUCAGUGAAGGCAGAGAUUUUGUGUUGAACAGUAAAUUAUACCUUACAAGACAUUUAUAGUCUUUGAAGUGGAAACGCGGUUCCCCAAAAUCUUCCUAAUCAGUCCAAUACCACAAUGCGUACCUUCGCAGUUCUACUCGUGAUUCAGCUGGUGACGUCUUAUGUAUUAGCACGUUCCCUUCAACUACGAUCUGGUUACUACAAUCUGAACUGUGAAGUCAUAUGCACGAGUCGACACGAGCACGACGAAAGUGACGCGGCACAUUGUGGUUGUCCACAUAAUUUACAAAGACAAAAUAAUCAAUCACACCCACUUCCGGACCAGCACUCAAGCCACACACUCUCCAUGUGCGAUUACCUGUGUUCCAUUCAGAUGGGCGGGGCAGCGUGUGUUUGCUCCGCCCCCAUCGUACCUGGACGAAAAUAACUGAACAUUCGAUUGGCUGGUGUAAUUCGAACGAUUAUAAAUCAAAAUGUGAUUGGAUAGUGAUUUAUGAGCAUGCGCUGUGAUAUAAAUAAUAUGAUAUGUGCUAUUGUUUGUUAUUGUAAAUGAACAAUAUUUGUAUAUUUUAAAAAUCCUCAAUGUAUUUAAUCUGUGAUUACCAUUUUUGUUAUCAUUUAGUAUUUAACUAAAUUGAUGCAAAUAUCUCUAGUAUCUCUAGUACAUGUGUGACUAUGUAUAUCUGUAAAAGUGUUUGUGAACUUCGUGUAUAUAAAAUAAAAAUGUGAUGUGUA